Long non-coding RNA from Labeo rohita (rohu), 443 nucleotides. RefSeq lists it as uncharacterized. NCBI's taxonomy places the organism in Eukaryota, Metazoa, Chordata, Actinopteri, Cypriniformes, Cyprinidae. The transcript is spliced from 3 exons. The record is from RefSeq and is a predicted model, not a curated record.
CUGGUUGAUGUUCCCCUCGAUGACGGUGACGUCACUGCAGCUCAAGAGCUGAACCACACACUUCCUGAACUGAGGGGAAUCACAGGGAAGAGAAAUGUUUCUGAACAGGAGAGCUCUUCCUGACGAGUGUGGACAGCAUCCAUAUGUCAGCGUUUGAAUGGAGGAAACCAGCGGCUAAACUGACAGCUAGAGCUCAGCGGGAUGACGGAAAGACGCGGCGCUGCCAGACACUGUUUACGUCCAAUAACCUCCACAGCUGCUCAAUAAUUCAGCAUCUUCUCCUUUGGAGCGCGCCGGGUUUGAUCCAAACCGCAGAUGAUGGGAUUGUAAACCGCUGCGGUUUUGGAGAAGAACGCUGGAGCGGCUGCCAGCCGUGGGUCCAGGUACAUGCUGGGACAGGCCGUAACGACGAUGGAGAAGGCGGCGUACGGAGUCCAGGCCAC